ACUCCUACGGGAGGCAGCAGUGGGGAAUUUUCCGCAAUGGGCGAAAGCCUGACGGAGCAAUACCGCGUGAGGGAGGAAGGCUUUAGGGUUGUAAACCUCUUUUCUUAGGGAAGAAAAAAUGACGGUACCUAAGGAAUAAGCAUCGGCUAACUCCGUGCCAGCAGCCGCGGUAAU
RNAcentral lists this ribosomal RNA (174 nucleotides) under uncultured soil bacterium. Its description in RNAcentral is "partial 16S ribosomal RNA". It matches the Rfam family "Bacterial small subunit ribosomal RNA", at positions 335 to 524 of the family's 1533-position model. The record is from RNAcentral.